This is a non-coding RNA of Pteropus alecto (black flying fox), 106 nucleotides long. The record is from Rfam. NCBI's taxonomy places the organism in Eukaryota, Metazoa, Chordata, Mammalia, Chiroptera, Pteropodidae.
GUGCUCACUUCGGCAACACAUAUACUAAAACUAGAAUGAUACCAAGAAGAUUAGCAUGGACCUGUGCAAGGAUGACAUGCGAAUUCGUGAAGCGUUCCAUACUUUU